AUUGAACGCUGGCGGCAUGCCUUACACAUGCAAGUCGAACGGUAACAGGUCUUCGGAUGCUGACGAGUGGCGAACGGGUGAGUAAUACAUCGGAACGUGCCUAGUAGUGGGGGAUAACUACUCGAAAGAGUGGCUAAUACCGCAUGAGAUCUACGGAUGAAAGCAGGGGAUCGCAAGACCUUGUGCUACUAGAGCGGCCGAUGGCAGAUUAGGUAGUUGGUGGGAUAAAAGCUUACCAAGCCGACGAUCUGUAGCUGGUCUGAGAGGACGAUCAGCCACACUGGGACUGAGACACGGCCCAGACUCCUACGGGAGGCAGCAGUGGGGAAUUUUGGGCAAUGGGCGCAAGCCUGAUCCAGCAAUGCCGCGUGCAGGAUGAAGGCCUUCGGGUUGUAAACUGCUUUUGUACGGAACGAAAAGCCCCGGGUUAAUACCCUGGGGUCAUGACGGUACCCAAAGAAUAAGCACCGGCUAACUUCGUGCCAGCCGCCGCCGUAA
Molecule: ribosomal RNA, 498 nt
Filed under: uncultured bacterium
Lineage: Bacteria
Description: partial 16S ribosomal RNA
Rfam family: Bacterial small subunit ribosomal RNA
Source: RNAcentral